GACGAACGCUGGCGGCAUGCCUAAUACAUGCAAGUCGAACGCUGAAGCACUCUGCUUGCGGAGUGCGGUUGAGUGGCGAACGGGUGAGUAACACUUGUGAAAUCUACCUCUAAGAGGGGGAUAACAUUCGGAAACGGGUGCUAAUACCGCAUAUAUUCUCGGACCGCCUGGUCCUUGAAAGAAAUACGGCUUUGCUUUCGCUUAUAGAUUAUCCCGCGGCGUAUUAGUUAGUUGGUGGGGUAAAGGCCUACCAAGACAAGGAGACGUAGCCGACCUGAGCGGGUGAUCGGAAAGACUGGGACUGAGAAACGGCCGAGACUCCUACGGGAGGCAGCAGUAGGGAAUCCUACAGAAAGGGCGAAAGCCUGAUGGAGCAAUGCCGCGUGAAUGAAGAAGGACUUAGGAUCGGAAAGUUCUGUUAGUAGAGAAGAACAAGUGAAGUAGUAACUGUCUUGACUUUGACGGUACCUACACAGAAAGCCACGGCUAACUACGUG
This 497-nucleotide ribosomal RNA is filed under the name uncultured bacterium. Its description in RNAcentral is "partial 16S ribosomal RNA". It matches the Rfam family "Bacterial small subunit ribosomal RNA", at positions 28 to 507 of the family's 1533-position model. The record is from RNAcentral.